UGGGGGAAUAUUGGGCAAUGGGCGCAAGCCUGACCCAGCAACGCCGCGUGAAGGAAGAAGGCUUUCGGGUUGUAAACUUCUUUUGUCAGGGACGAAGCAAGUGACGGUACCUGACGAAUAAGCCACGGCUAACUACGUGCC
Molecule: ribosomal RNA, 141 nt
Filed under: uncultured bacterium
Lineage: Bacteria
Description: partial 16S ribosomal RNA
Rfam family: Bacterial small subunit ribosomal RNA
Source: RNAcentral